GCCCUCGUGGUCCAACGGAAAGGACACCGGCCUUCGAAGCCGGCGGGUGCAGGUUCGACUCCUGCCGAGGGUG
This 73-nucleotide transfer RNA is filed under the name Thermomonospora umbrina. RNAcentral's name for it is "Actinomadura umbrina tRNA". It matches the Rfam family "tRNA". Rfam says of the family: Transfer RNA (tRNA) molecules are approximately 80 nucleotides in length. Their secondary structure includes four short double-helical elements and three loops (D, anti-codon, and T loops). Further hydrogen bonds mediate the characteristic L-shaped molecular structure. tRNAs have two regions of fundamental functional importance: the anti-codon, which is responsible for specific mRNA codon recognition, and the 3' end, to which the tRNAs corresponding amino acid is attached (by aminoacyl-tRNA synthetases). tRNAs cope with the degeneracy of the genetic code in two manners: having more than one tRNA (with a specific anti-codon) for a particular amino acid; and 'wobble' base-pairing, i.e. permitting non-standard base-pairing at the 3rd anti-codon position. The record is from Rfam by way of RNAcentral. Lineage: Bacteria; Bacillati; Actinomycetota; Actinomycetes; Streptosporangiales; Thermomonosporaceae.